Molecule: ribosomal RNA, 253 nt
Filed under: uncultured bacterium
Lineage: Bacteria
Description: partial 16S ribosomal RNA
Rfam family: Bacterial small subunit ribosomal RNA
Source: RNAcentral
UACGUAGGUCGCAAGCGUUGUCCGGAUUUACUGGGCGUAAAGAGCGCGCAGGCGGCUGGUCAAGUCCGAUGUGAAAUCUCCCGGCUCAACUGGGAAACUGCAUCGGAAACUGAUCGGCUUGAAGAUGGGAGAGGGUAGUGGAAUUCCCGGUGUAGUGGUGAAAUGCGUAGAUAUCGGGAAGAACACCCGUGGCGAAGGCGGCUCUCUGGAACGCAACCGACGCUGAGACGCGAAAGCGUGGGGAGCAAACAGG